Molecule: transfer RNA, 85 nt
Filed under: Actinomycetota bacterium
Lineage: Bacteria; Bacillati; Actinomycetota
Description: Actinobacteria bacterium (aquatic metagenome) tRNA-Tyr
Rfam family: tRNA
About the family: Transfer RNA (tRNA) molecules are approximately 80 nucleotides in length.
Source: RNAcentral
GGCAGGUUGCCCGAGUGGCCAAAGGGAGCGGACUGUAAAUCCGCCGGCUCUGCCUACGUUGGUUCGAACCCAACACCUGCCACCC